RNAcentral lists this long non-coding RNA (42292 nucleotides) under Homo sapiens (human). RNAcentral's name for it is "non-protein coding LINC01194:8". Lineage: Eukaryota; Metazoa; Chordata; Mammalia; Primates; Hominidae. The record is from RNAcentral.
GGUUCCCGCCUGCGCCUCUCCCUCCACACCGCCUUGCAAGCUGAGGGAGCCGGCUCCGGCCUCUGCCAGCCCAGGAAGGGGCUCCCACAGUGCAGCGGCGGGCUGAAGGACUCCUCAAGUGCCACCAAAGUGGGAGCCCAGGCAGAGGAGGCGCCGAGAGCGAGCGAGGGCUGCCUGCCAGCACGCUGUCACGUCUCAGCAAUAGACUGCUCUUGAGGCUGGAGUGCAAUGUUGUUAUCAUAGCUCACUGCAACCUGGAACCCCUAGUCUCAAGAGAUCCUCCAGCCUCAGCCUCCCUGUUCCAGGAUACAUGUGCAGGAUGUGCAAGUUUGCUACAUGGGUAAAUAUGUGCCAUGGCAGUUUGCUGCAUCUAUUAACCCAUUACCUAGGUAUUAAGCCCGAUGGAGUCUCUGUCGCCCAGACUGGAGUAAGGUAGCACGACCUCGGCUCACUGCAACCUCCACCUCCCAGGUUCAAGCGAUUCUCCUGCCUCAGCCUCCUGAAGAGCUGGGAUUACAGGCUCUGCCACUACACCCGGCUAAUUUUUGUAUUUUUAGUGGAGGUGGAGUUUCACCAUGUUGGCCAGGCUGGUCUUGAACUCCUUACAUCAGGCAAUGGACUGCUCUGUGGAGCACACAAUUAUCUAAACUCCAUGCUCAGCCCUAGAUUGGAGGAACAAGCUGGACAGAGCCAGACUUUGCAGGCUCAGCUAAAAUGUCUAACAAUGGCAAGCAGAGACACAAGCUUCGAGGAGUGGUUUAGCAGUCGGCCACCAAGGAUCCAGAGAUAUACCUGGGUGUAAAAUGAAGAAACCUCUGCUGCCCAAGUUAUUUGCAUGGGGAAAGAGGGGCAACCUAAAUUCCUAAUCUAGACGAAUGGAUGCUCCAAAUGCCAGGAGAUAUGUGCAGGUGUGAAGAGGAGAGAGCUGCUAUAUCAAAUUGUUCACAUCAAAAGAGAGGGGGUGGCACAGGCUUCUAAUCUAGGAAAGAAAAGGCAUGCUUCUAAAAAUAAUACAAGGAGAGGAACUAGAAACUGAGGCUAUUAUCGGAAAAUGGAUACAUAUAGUCAUGAUGCCAAGUACCAGUUGUUUUGCCAAAAUGGUUUUGCAUGAUGCAUGAUGUUUCAUCCUGGAACGAUUUCUUUUUAUUAGGUAUGUGGCAGACUGCAGAGUGAAUUAAUUUAGCUGGAGAAGUGCUAAAAGAAUUUUACAGCUGCCAGGAGGAGAACAUGAAGAUAUAACUAAUGAAAUUGCUUGGCUCCACCUAUAUUACAUGAAAGUUUGUGGCUGAGAUUGAAGAAAAGCCAAAGUUAAAAGGGUGGAAUACUGGACUUAAUUAUUUUAAUUAUUAUUACCAACUUAAAUUUUUUCCUAGUAAUCUGACAAAAAGCUCAUUUGAUAAUAUAAUUUGCAUACUUAAUAUUGCCAUUUGAAUUGAUUGUACAAAAUCUACUUUAAAAAAUUGGAUAAUAUCACCAAAGUUUAACUAAGAAAUAGAGUAGAAAUAGAAUUGUUGGCCUAGGCUAAAAAGUGGCCUUAAUAUUUCUUUAAUGAUUAUUCUAUUUUCAGUCAUUUAUUAUCUUUAAGUAAGACAUGUUUUACAGUCCUAGGAAGAGGUAGUGGUUGCUAUUGGACUCCUGACCUCAGGAAAGCAGAGUAAGUCUAUGCUGGUAAAGUCUUGGUCUCUUCCUCAUGAGGCAAACAAACACACACAUUGUUGACGACAGCCUUAGUUAUUCACCUGAACAGGUUUUGAAUAAAAAUUUAUGGAGAAACAUUAUCUCAUUGCUCCUAAUAUUUUAAGGAUGAAAGAGCGCAAUAAUAAAGCAUUAUGAAAAAUCCACCCUAACUCUGCAUUAUAUUUUUCUCAAAAGAAAGACUGUGAUUAAUUCUGUUGAUACAAUUAUAGGAAGUCUGAAAAUCAUUUGGCCGCAUUGUGUAUAGAAAAGGAGAAUUUACAUUUCAACCUCUCAUGCUUUGGAUCUAUGUAUCUUUUGGCUUUUUGGACCAGCUAAGCAUAUCCUAAUUUAUCUCCAUUCUGUUGCAAAUGUUUUUACAAUGUUUUACAUGGCUGCCCCCAUGAGCUUGGAAUAAUUAUUGAUAGUUAUACACAUAUUUCCAAUUGCAGUUACAUUGAUACAAUACAUAGUUCAUGGAAAAAAUGAAGGAAGAUAGGAAGAAAGGAUGCAUGAGUAGUAUGUGAUUCUUAUAAGAAUAUUAGGAAAUGAACAUUAUUUCCCCUUUUUCCUAAAAUAUGCAGAAAGAUUUUUCAAUUGGCCUAUGACUAAACACAGUAAUGAUGAAACUAACAAGAUCUUAGAUAUUCUGAUUGUUAAUAUGGCAUCAAUCCAAUUAUACAGGUUACUUUACUUUUCAUAAUUUCCUGUCAUAGUUUAAUAAAUUAUUUUUUAUAAAUUAUAAUGCAAAAUUGAUAUAUUUCUUUAGUGAUUGAGAGUCUUCUCAAUAUACUUUCGACAUAUUAUAAAGUACCCAGUCUUAAUCAUGUCUUGCCUUCAGGUCUUUUUUCUUUUCUUGCAAAAAUACCAAUAUAAGCUAAAACCAUAACUAAUAGGAUAGUAAUGUAAUUUAAAAUAUGAUACAAAACAUGCACUCUCCUAUUUAUCUCUAGAGAUUGCUACAUAAACAAAUUCAGCAGAGUUUUUCAUUUCAUUUUUUAUAAUAAAUGAUGAUGUGUGACAAUAUAGAAAGCAGUCUUAACUAGAUUUACACAUUUCAAAUUGAACUAGUUUUAAUUUCAUAUCUAAAAAGGGUUUCAAAUGGACAUCAUUUACAAGAAUUACUGGGUUAAUAUUCUCAGAGAUUUAAUUGUAAUGGAUUAUUACCUAGCUAUGAUUUAUCAUAAUGUGGAAAAAUAGAUUAAUUCAUAUGGUUUCUAAAAAGACUCAAUAUUAUGAUUAAAAGCAGUGACCUCAUUUUUUAUUAGUUUGAUACUGCCUGGGAAGAAUUCCUCACCUUAUAUGUUUGAGCUAGAAACGCAGUAGCUACUGCAGCAUUUUCUGAGGGCCACAAUGGUCACUGUGCCAGAGGCUAUGUCCAGUGUCUGUUGAUGAUUGUGUGUGGGAUAUUGGCUAGAUCACCUUCUCUCUGGAAGAUUCUGUGUAGUGAUCAGAGCAGAAGACGUGGCUACUUAGCCUCUCUGGAUAAAUGCUUAUUUAUCAGAGUGGUUCUCCAGCCAUUUCAGUUAUUCAAUGAGCUCCUUGUACCUUUUAUCACGAAAUCCCUUUCCUGUUUAAUUCAAGCACAGCUGGGUUUUUGGAACAGUGUAUUAUUUCCUAGGGCUGCCACCACAAAUUGUUACACACUAGGUAGCUUAAUAUGACAAAUUUAUUAUCUCAGAGUUCUGAAAACCAUAAGUCCCCAAAUCAAGGUUUUGGUGGGGCUGUGCUCCCUCUGAAGGCUCUAGGGGAGGAUUCUGCCUACCUCUCCCAGCUCGCGGUGGCUCCCGGCACUCCUCACUUCCCUGGCUGCAUCCCUCAAAACUCUGCAGUCACGCUGCCUCCUCCUCUUCAUUGUCUGUGUCUUCUUUCUCUUGUAAGGGGAGUUGUCAUUGGAUUGAGGGUUUACUCAAAUAAUACAAAAGAUCUCAUUUUAAGACCCUUAAUUGCAUUUACAAAGACCAUUUUCUCAUAGAAAUUCACACUCACAGUUUUCCAAGGGCCAGGAUGUGGACAUAUAUUUUUGGGGGGCCACCCCUUGACCCACUCCAGAAGUGUCCGUGGAUUGACACUUUACAGAAUUCUCAUUUUAUUUAAUCUAGUUUGUAUCGUCAUUGAAAAGUUGUAUCUUGUUUCUGAGCUAAAACACCCUCUAGUCCACCUUUUCACAGUCUAAAUUCAGGAAUAAAGGGUAAUAAAUAUUAAGGAAACACUCGUCUUCAAAAUAGCUGACUCCCUCAGCCCAUCAUCUGUCAGUCUACUUUAAGCACUGCCUGAUAGACAUGAGUAGGCUCACGUCACGUUGGGGGUUUUACAAGAACAUUAACUAUCUUGUACUAGAAAUGGGCUAAUCAGCUGUCACCUGUAUGGCAGUUCAGACAAGUGCAAGUACUUCCUUUGAGUUAUGAUCUUGUAAAAAUGAGAGUUUAUAACUGAAAAGCUGGUCACUGUGACAUGCAAUUCUGAAAGACUGUUUAACAUUUCUGGAGACAACAUAGUUUGUAAAUAAGGGGCAUUUAUUACUACAGACAGCCUCGGGGUACACAUUCAUUAUCCACUGACAAGUACAGAUACAAACGCAAAGGCUUAAUUCAUUAGCAUGUAGGUAACAUGUUAUAUUUAAAAUUAGGGUAAAUGGAAAUAUAUUUCAUAAAGAUACAAUGAUUUAAUUAAUUCAAUUACUUUUUAACUUAGAAUAUGAUUUUAGAUAGAAAAAGUCUGCAGAUGUGUAACUUGCUUUCCAUAGUCAAAGAUUUUAAAUUGUUUGGCUUACUUCAAAAGAGAGGUACUUAUGUCAAUCAGCACUGAUUUAGAUUGAUGUAUUUAUAGCUUAAUAAAUGUUCACACUUUUUAAAAAUAAAUUUCUAACAUGAAAAAUCCUAUAUGGUAUAGUAAACCCAAAUUUUGUUGGAGUAGAUUUUUUUUCUCUAGCUCAUUUAAUGUCACAUUGUUUGACAUUACAAAAAGUUCCUGAAUGAUUUGUGUGUUUUAAAGAAACUAUUAACAUCAUUCCUUUUCUACUCAGUUUUCAUACACUCAGUAUUUAUUUUCAACUGAUGUAAAAAUUUGAAAUCAUUUAUGAAUAUAAAAAUAUUACAUAUUAUAAUUAUAGCUUUACAUAUGUUUUUUCAAUCAAUCAAUCAAUAAGUACUUUUUCAUAGCUAAAUUAGAGAGUGGCAUCCUUUGAAGUGCUGUGAAAACUGAACAGAAUUAAAAAGAAAACAUCCCUGCCCUCAAGUAGCUUACAUUCUGGAACGGAGAGACAUAUGCUAAACCCAAAACUUUAAAAUAUAUAAUAUGUUACAUAGUUAUAAGUACUAGGAUGAAAUGGAAAAAGGCAACAGAAAGGGCAGUAGGUGUGGAGGAUAAUUUUAAAUUUAAAUAACUCAGAGUGCACUGGCAUAACUGAGAAGGUUCUUCUGAGCAAAGACUUGAGAGAAGUGAAAUAUUCAUUAUAUACAGAUAUCUGAGGAAGGCUUCUCCAGGCAAGGGGACUUGCAGUGCAAAGACCCUGAAAAACACAGUACUGCUUAGAAGUCAGUGGAAAGAAAUGAGGGACAACAAUGGCUGGAAUUAGAUGAGGGAAUGAUAGGAGAGGUAAGAUUACACUAGAAAGGGGAAGGACAGGGAUUACUACAAUAAUAGGGACUUCACUCUGAGUAAACUGGAAGGUCACUACACAUUCUGAACUGACAGAACCAAUGUAUAUUUUAUAGAAUUAUUCAAGCUGCGUAGGCAGUGGAUGAGGUUAAGGGUGGUGGAGUUAAAACAGGAAGACAGUGACAAAGUUAUUUCAAUUUUUCAAGUAAGAAAUAGUGGCAACAUUGAAUAGGGUAGUGACGACUGGCUGAUUAGAAGUGGCUGAAUUUCUGAACAUAUUUUGAAAGUAUUAUGUUGCCAAGAAAUUUAACUGGAAGACAGAUUGUGAGGUUUGAAGAGAAAAAAAUGAGGCCAAAGUGACUCAUAUAGUUGAGCCAAGCAACUGAAAGGCUGUUACUAUUUAUCAAUAAUGGAACGCCUAUAGAAGAACCAAGUGUAAGGAGUAAGGUUAUGUGCUCAGUUUAGAAAUAAAAGGUGUGUAUAUAUCCUUUGCAUCUGCCUUAACAGCACCUAUAUCUCUUUUUUUUCCUAUAUUUUAUUUUAUUUUAAGUUCUGGGAUACAUGUGCAGGCCGUGCAAGUUUGUCACAUAGGUAAAUGUGUGCCAUGGUGGUUUGCUGCACCCAUCAACCCAUCACCUAGGUAUUAAGCCUUGCAUGCAUUGGCUAUUUAUCCUGAGCUUUCCCUCACCCUGCACCCACAACAGGCCCUGGUGCGUGUUGUUCCCCUCCCAGUGUUCAUGUGUUCCCAUUGUUGAGCUCCUACUUAUAAGUGAGAACAUGUAGUAUUUGGUUGUCUGUUUCUGUGUUAGUUUGCUGAGGAUAAUGGUUUCCAGCUCCAUCCAUGUCCCUGCAAAGGAGAUUAUCUCAUUCCUUUUUAUGGCUGCAGAGUAUUCUGUGCCACAUUUUCUUUAUCUAGUCUAUCAUUGAUGGGCAUUUGGGUUGAUUCCAUGUCUUUGCUAUUGUGAAGAAUGCAGCAAUAUACGUACGCAUGCAUGUAUCUUUAUAAUAGAAUGAUUUAUAUUCCUUUGGGUGUAUACCCAGUAAUGGGAUUGCUGGGUUAAAUGGUAUUUCUGCUUCUAGAUUCUUAAGGAAUCACCACACUGUCUUCCACAAUGGUUGAACUAAUUUACACUUCCACUAACAGUGGAAAAGUGUUCCUAUUUCUCCACAGCCUCGACAACAUCUGCUGUUUCUUGACUUUUUAAUAAUUGCCAUUCUGGCUGGUGUGAGAUGAUAUCUCAUUGUGGUUUUGAUUUGCAUUUCCCUAAUGAUCAGUGAUGUUGAGCUUUUUUUCAUGUUUGUUGGUUGCAUAAAUGCCUUCUUUUAAAAGUGUCUGUUUGUGUCCUUUGCCUGAUUUUUGAUGGGGUUGUUUGGUUUAUUUUUGGAAAUUCGUUUAUGUUCCUUGUAGAUUCUGGAUAUUAGACCUUUGUUGGAUGGAUAGAUUGCAAAAAUUUUCUCCCAUUCCAUAGGUUUUCUGUUCAUUCUGAUGAUAGAUUCUUUCGCUGAACAGCACCUGUGUCUCUACUUCUACAUCUGUGUGUAAGUGUUUCUACAUAUAUGCAACUGUAUCUCCAACUCUUAUCACAAUAUCUGGAAUUAGUAGACAACCUGUAAAUAUUUGUUGAAUAAAUGUUGAGUACAUACACAUCACAUGCAAUUUGGUUGAUAUUACAGGUAGUGUGAAACAACAUAGCAUCCAAAUUUAAAAUUAGAUGUAAAAUAUGUCCUAUAUUCUUUCAGAAACAUAAUUUUAAUGGUUGUCAAUAUAUAUGUACAAAUAUUCUAAGUAAUUGACAAAGCAUUUAAUUGGUAUCUACUGAGAUAGGAUAUCUGCAUCCCAGGUCAUUUUUCUUAUUAAGUGAAUGAACUAAAUAAAAUUAUUUAAUCUUUUUAAGAUACAACUUUCUUAUUUCUGAAAUGUGAUACUGUCACAUUUUUCUGAGAUUAGAAUAUGUAUAUAAUAAACAUCUGAACACAGCAGGCAACAAAUGAAUUACAGAUGUUAUUAAAAUGUGUAUCAUUUGAAGUAUGUUAAAAUUACAUUAAUUCAAUAAAACUUGUGGAAUUGCUGGGUCAGUAAUAUAUGUAUUAAUCUGGGGAAAAACAAAUAUAAAAUAUAGUAGAAAAAUGUAUACUGUAGAAAUAAUGUAUAUUAAAAACAUAAAGUCAACUGUAGUAUAUGUAUAUGUAGCAUAGUAUAUAAUGCGUGUAUAUAUAGAGUGUUUUAUGUAUAUGUUACAAUGUAUAUAGUAUAUAUAUAGCAUAGUAUAUACAGUAUAUGAAAACAGUGUGUAUAUAGUAGAAAAAUGUAUAUUGAAUUGAAAAUACUUGAUCUUAAUUAGUUACAAAAUUGCCUAAAAACAAUGCAAUUGUGGGACAAACAAAUCAUAUGCUAUUACAGACCAUGUUCCAGACUUCAAUUAUAAGACACUGAAACCUACCUCAAAUUUGUCCCUGUUUGUAGGGGGUAUGAAUCAUAAAUGAAUAAAAAUUGUAUAGAAACAAUAUGCCAACUAUUUAGCAAUUAAAUAGAAUAUGUCUCGGUUACCUUGCAAUGUAAAGAUGAAAAUACUUUGUAUUAGAUUAUUCCAUAUAUGAUUUGAUUAAAUCAUUCUAACAACACUUGCUCUAGUUGGUCUGAACUUGUUUAAUUUUGUAUUAAAGCAAAUGCUGCAGAAUAAAGUUCAAAUGCGGGCCUUGAAAGCAGUUUCUCUGUGUAGACAUUUAACUUAUUUUUGUGAUAAUUUUUAACUAAAUUAUUUUUUAAAGCUUCACUAUAACCUGUUCAGGCAAUCAUCUCUAAUGGAAUGACAUCAAUAUUAAAAGGUCAAUACUUUUAAUGCAUUAAAUUACAGGUACCAGAAAGUCAAAACAUAAAUCACUAUAUAUAAUAUAUAUAUAUAUCAAUAUAUCUCUAUCUAUUUCUACAUAUAUAUUUUUUCCUGACUACUUAGUAUACUUGACCAUUUGUGAAUCAUAUAUCUUUAUUAAAUAUAAUCUAGGUACUUGAACUUAUUUUAAAUAUAAUUAGAAGAGUGAUGUCAGCAACAUGACUGAUAAGAGGUGUCUGGCUCUUUUCCUUCCACCAAAAAACAAAUAAAUUUUAAAAACCACCAUUGAAUAAACAAAUACAUUUCAACUAGAUUGUCUGAAAGAAAGUCCUAGAGGACAAGGGAGUGUUGACCCUGUGAGUCAAGAAAAGCCAGGAUGGCGGCAUAAAGAGGAGGGGAAAGAAUCCUGCCUCCGCCACUUUAUCUUCCCUGCUGGGAGGGGCUCAGGGCCAGGAGGAGCUUCUCCUGCAGAAGAGUAUAGGCAUCAGGCCCCUAGAAUUCCCCAUUGCUGUGGCAGACAUCUGCAUCCCUUGCUACAGGAGAAUCCCAUAGGCGCUGAGCUCAGUUUAGUGAGCUGGCUGCAGUUCACAGGGCUACAUUGCUACAGGGUAGGAGCCCACAUCUUGCACUCUGCACCACCGUGACCCAAACUGCUAUGGCAUGGCCUUAUUUUGAAACUGAAACCACUGAUAGAAUGCAGCCUGCUAUGAGGGCCAAAAGCCACUGCAGCUCUCCAUCCUCAAGGCUCCACUGUUAUUCUACCAGACUCAUGCAUGUGAAUGAAGAACCACGAAUGCAGAUGUUCUGAGCCUAGGCCUAGCUGAACUGCAGUGAUUCUGGCAACAGAGCCCACAUGGCACCUUACCUCCCCAAAGAAGGCAGUCUUGCACAGCAGGGAAGUUGACCCCGGACAGGAAACUCAUCAUAUGCAUGUACAUUCAGCCUAAAAACCAGCAGGAAGACCCUGCCUCCAGCAAGGCAGCACUGCUGCAGACACAAAAUCCUGCAACUUAGACCACUAAGGCACUCCCAGGCAUUGCUUAUCUGGAUUACAGCUGAAGAAAUUAAAAGUAGGCUUAAAAAAAAGUAAAAUGGACAAAUCGGUAGUUAUAUUAACUAGGAGAAAAAGAGAUAAGACUCAAACAAAUAAAAUCAGAGAUAAAAGGAGAAAUUACAACCAAUAUCAUAGGACAAAGGAUCAUGAGAGACAAUUGUGAAGUUAUACCCAAAAAAUGGAAUAACCUAGAAGAAACAGAUGAAUUCCUGCACACAUACAAUCUGUCAAAAUUGAAUUAUGAAGAAAUAGAAAAUCUGAACAGACCAAUAACAAGUAAGGAAUUUGAAUCAAUAGUAAAAUUUCUCCUAUAAAAGAAAAGCCCAGCUACUGAGGACUUCACUGUUGAAUUCUACCUAAACUUUAAAGAACAAUUCAGACCAAUUCUUCUGAAACUAUUCCAGAAAAUUGAAGAAUAAGUAAUAUUUCCAAAAAUUCUACAAGGCUGUCUUCCCCUGAUACCAAAACCACAUAAGGACCCAAAUACAACAAAAAGAAAACCACAAGUUGAUAUCCCUGAUAAGCAUACAUGUAAAAAUUCUCAAAAUAUCACCAAACAGAAUUCAAUAGCACAUUAGGAAGAUCUUUCACAGUGGUCAGCUGGGGUUUAUCACAGGGAUGAAAGGAUGGAUUAAAAUAUAUAUAUUAAUAAAUGUUAUACAUCACAUUAGCAGAAAGAUGAGGGAAACCAUAUCAUCACGUCCAUAGAGGCAGAAAAAGCAUUUCACAGAACUCUGUAUCCUUUCAUGACAAAAACUAUCAACAAAUUAGGUAAAAACAGUACUUACCUCAACACAAUAAAGGCCAGCUAGCAUUAUGCUAAAUGACAAAAAGCUGAAACCGUUUUUGCUAAGAACUGGAACAAGACAGGGAUACCCACUCUCACCAACUGUAUUUAGCACAGUACUGGAAGUCGUAGCCAGAGAAAUUAAACAAUAAAAAAAAAUGAAAGAUGGGCAAAUUGGAAAAGAGGAAGACAAAUAGCCCCUGUUUGCAGAUGAGAUGAUCUCAUAUACAGAACACACUAAAGACUCCACCAAAACAGAACUAAUAAACAAAUUCAGUGAAGUUAUAGAAUGCAACAACAAGAUAUAAAAAUUAGUAACAUUUCUAUAUGCUAAUAGCGAAAUAUUUAAAAAGAAAGCAAUAAGCAAUAUAAUUCACAAUAGCUACUAAAAAAAAAAAACCUUGAUGUAGAUUUAACCAAGGAGGUAAAAGAUGACUACAAUGAAAACUAUAAAACAUUGAUAAAAGUAAUUGAAGAAAAUAUAGAUAAAUGGAAAGAUAUUCUGUAUUCAUGGAUCAGAAUUACAUUGUUAAAAUGUCCAUACUACCCAAAGCAAUCUACAAAUUCAAUACAAUCUCCGUGAAAAUAUCAAUGAUAUUCUUCACAGACACACAGAAAACAAUCAUAAAAAUAGAAAGCAAAAUCUUAAUACGGAAUCACAAAAGACACUGAAUAGCCAAAGCAAUUUUGAAAAAAAAAAAAAAAGAGAGAGAGAGAGAAGACAAAGCUGGAGAUAUCCCUUUACCUAGCCAACAAAAGUUGGAGACAUCAUGCUACCAAAACAGCAUGGUAUUAGUGUCAAAACGGAAACAGACCAACAGGACACAAUAGAGGGCUCAGAAAUAAAUCCAUGCAUCUACAGCCAACAGAUUUUCAACAAAAAUGUCAAUAACACACAUUGGCAAAAGGACAGUAUCUUCAGUAAAUGGUGUUCAGAAAAUUAGGUAUCUGUAUGCAGAAGAAUAAAAGUUAACCCCUAUUUUUAACCAUAUACAAAGUUCAACUCUAAAUUGAUUUAAUAUUCUAUUUAAGACCCAAAGCUAUGAAACUGCUAGAAGAAAACAUAGGGGAAAUGCUUCACAACACUGAACUGGGUAAGAACUUUUUGUAUAAAUACUCAAAAGCACAGAGAACAAAGGCAUAAAUAAACAAAUGAGAUUACAUGAAACUAGAAAGCUUAUUCACAACAAAGGAAACAAGCAACAGAGUGAAGAGAGAACCUCCAGAAUGAGAAAAAUAUUAGUAAGUUAUACAUCUGAUGUGGACUGGAUAUUCAGAAUACAUAACGAACACAAACAAGUAAAUAACCAAAAACCCCCACAAAUAAUGCAAUUAAAAAUGGGAAAAUAACCUUAAUAAACAUUUCUCAAAAGAAAACACACAAAAGACCAAAAAGAAUUUUAAAAAUGCUCAAUAUUAUCACUAAACAUCAGGGAAAUGCAGUUAUAGCCACAAUCUCACUCCAGGUGGAAUAGCUAUUAUCAAAAAGACAAAUGAUAACAAGUGUUGGUGAACAUGUAAAGAAAGACGAACUCUCACAUGCUGUUGGUGGAAAUGUAAAUUCAUACAGCUGUUAUAGAAACAGUAUAGAAGUUCCUCAAGAAUUAAAAUACUUCUACUACAUGAUUCAGCAAUUUCAUGGGUAUAUAUCCAAAGGAAAUGGGUAUAUAUCCAAAGGAAAUAAAAUCAGUAUGCUAAAGAGAUGUCUGCACUUGCUUAUUGAAGAACUCUUCACAAUAGCCAAGGUAUGAGUCAGCCUACAUGUUCAACAAAGAUUGAAUUGAUAAAGAAAAUGUCAUGUGUAAUGGGAUACUAUUUAGUCAUAAAAAGAAGAGAAUCCUGUCAUUUGUGACAAAAUAGAUGAACCUGGAAGAUGUUAUAUUAAGUGAAAUACGUCAGGAGCAGAAAGACAAAUACUGCACUAUCUCACUCAUAUAUGGAAUCUAAAAAUGUUGAUCUCAUUGAAGUAGUCAAUAGAAUAGUGGUUAUAAGAGACUGGGGAGGAGAGGGUGAUAGAAGGACGGAAAGAGGCUUGUCAGUGAGUACAAAGCUACAAUUAGAAAGUAAAAAUAAAUUCUGAUGUUCUAUUGCACAGUAGGAUGACUGUAGUCAAUAAUAAGGUAUUGUAUAUCUCGGAAUACCUAGAAGAGACAAUUUUGAAUGUUCUUACCACACAAAACUGAUGAAUGUUCAAAGUGAUGAAUAUAUUUAGUAUUCUGAUUUGAAACGUAUUAAAACAUCAUAUUGUACCCCAUAAAUAUGUGCAAUUAUUAUAUGUCAGGUAAAAAUCAAAAUAAUUUAAAAGAAGAGCAUAAAUCCAUACUUACUACAUCAUUAAAAUAAGAUUAAUAUCAAUUUUCGUUCUGAUUAAAUUUUAUGAUCAUCUUAGAAUAUUGCUAUUUAUGAAAAUAUGGUUUAUUUUAUGACUGCAUGUUAAAGAAAAAAAAAACUCCCAUUUCAAUACCAGAAUCCUGAAUUCUGCUGCCCAGAGUUAUUACCACAAGCUAGAAUUUGAGCCUCAACUCUUCUCCAUUUGAUUAACUUUAGGUUGAUAUAAAUACCCUAAAAUUAUAUGCUUUUUAACUUUGGAAGAUAAAAUAAACAGCUGUUGGAGCUUACCAACUGGUGAGAGGGUAUGUAUUCUCUCCAAAGAACCUUCAAAAGACAGUCACCUCACAUCUUCUCACUUCAAUGAUAAAUACAAUCAUCCAGGUCUGUGAGCUUGCUGUUUGUGGUAGACAGAAUUCUGAGAUGGUCCCCAGGAUUUCUGCCUUUUUUUAUACACCCUCCCCUUGAGUGUGAGUAUGGCAUGUAAAUAUGAUGUGUUAUUACUCCUAUGAUUAGGUUACUAACCAGUUGACUUGGUAUGAACUAAUAUGGAGGUUAUCCUGGGUAGGCUUGACCUAAUUAGGAGAGGUCUUUGAAAAGGGUGCAGUGAGUCAGACAGACUGACCUCCUGCCCUCUAAGAAAGGUGAAACAUACAAUCAUGUAUUGAGCUGCCUAGGGAGAAGAGCAUCUUCAAAGAGUUGAGGUCCUAAAGCUGCAGGAACUGAAUUCUACCCAUAGCUUGAAUGUAAUUGGAAGAAGACUGCAAGAAUCAGAUGAGACUCCCAGCCUAGCUUCCAUCUUGACUGUAGCAUGUAAAACCUCAAAAACCCCUCCUGAGUGCAGCCUAGGCUGUCGACCUGAAAUAUAGUAAGAUAAUAAAUAAUGGUUGUUUUAAUCUGCUAAAUUUGUGAUAAUUCGCUACAUAGCAAAUAAAAAUUAUACAGUGUUCUGAUAGACUAAAAACGUAUAAGAUUAAAGUUACAUGAUUUUCCCUUAAGAAAAUAGCUCAUUUUAUGAUGAGUUCCUCUCUGGGAACCCUAGCAUAAUCUCUACAACCUUGCUGGCUAUCAGAGAAUAAAUAUAUUCAAUAGCCCAGGAGACAUUUAAUAAAUAGUAACAAGUAGAGGCCCUACUGACCCAUAUGACAUCUUUAUUGGUAUUGGGAAAAGGUGCUGUAGCCUCAAGCUACUGUAUUUCCAACUGGGGAGAAAAUGUCAAAACAAAUAGAAUAUAUGCAACAUUUAAAAUUUGAAUGACUUCUUUUAGGGUUAUGAAAUACCCAGCCUGCACAACUUUAUGCAAGUUAAUUGAAUGUUGGCAUAAAAAAUGACAAAAUAAACAACCCAUGCCUUCUAGAACAAUCAGCAGUGAAUAACAUUUUGGUAAUAAUUAUUAUUACAUUAUUUAAAGAGUUCACUUAAUAGUUUAGUGUGCUUGAAUUAUUUUUAGAAUGUAUUUGUUGUUUGUGGUGAGUACAGUCUGUGCCUUGACACAUCCCAUUAAUGAGUCUGGGAUACUCAUUCUCUAGCUAACAUGAAUGUCACACCUCAAAGCUGCCCCCUUCAUAUGGUUUGGCUGAGUCCUCACCCAAAUCUCAUCUUGAACUGUAAUAAUUCCCAUGUGUCAAGGGCAGGUCCAGGUGGAGGUUACUGAAUCAUGGGGGCAGUUUCCCCCAUGCUGUUCUCAUGGUAGUGAAUAAGUAUCAUGAGAUCUGAUGGUUUUAUAAAUGAGAGUUCCCCUGCACAAGCUCUUGCCUGUAGCUAAGUAAGAUGUGCCUUUUGCCUUUCCCAAUGAUUGUGAGGCCUCCCCAGCCAUGUGGAAUUGUGAGUCCAUUAAACCUCCUUCCUUUGUAAAUUACCCAGUCUCAGCUCAGGUAUGUCUUUAUUAGCAGUGUGAAAACAAACUAAUGCACUCCUUUUCUGGAGAACUGCCUGCAAGUGUCAGAAGCCUUUGUUGUGGAAUGACAAAAUCUAGCUAACUAGCAUAUGCAUUACUCACAUAGUUAUUAUUUUUGUGGUGAGAACACUUAAUAUCCAUUCUCUUAGCCUUUUUUCAGAAUUCAUUAACACUGUAAGAAUAUAUUAUUAACCGUCAUCACCAGGUUAUACAGUAGGUCUCUUCAACUUUUUCUACCUGUCUGAUGGAAAUUUGGUAUCCUUUGACUAACAUUUCUCCAAUGCACCCCCAUCAACCACCACACCCCUGAUAAUCACCAUACUACUCUCUACUUCAGAACAUCAUGUUGUACUCGAUAAAUAUAUAUAAUUUAUCUGUCAAUGUAAAAAAUAAGAUAAUCAUUUUUAAAAAGUAAAAGAGGCCUUCACAGUAAAGUUUGGCAUUCUUCUCCAGCUGUCCAAUGCUAACAAACAACUGAAACACGGCAAAGACUGGCUCCUUGGACUUGACUCAGGACCAGUUUUGGUGUACUUUCCACUCCAGAGUCCCUUUACGGUUAGGCAGAAGCUAGUCCCUAGCCAAGACCACACACUUGCUUAUUUGUUUCCCUGACCAAUCUUUUGUAUUUCACUCGCUUCCUUCCUCAAUAAAUCACUUGAACAAGAACUUCCUUGCCAUCUCAGGUUCUAAUACAACCCCCUGUGUAUUACGCUUUACAACACAGGCUUCAUGUGAUGUAAAGAAAUUAGCUAUCAGUAUACCCUAAAGAAGCUAAUAAAACCCAGAGACCAGGUCAUCUCACACACGGCCUAUUUCAAAGCCCUAAAGGAGUCUUAGACUGGUGCUCACACAGUUGCAUAGUUUAUAAAAUGUUCAAAGUUAAAUAUUUUGUGUUGUUUUCUUACAAGAGGAUCCCUAAAACAGGAUUCAGGCCCCUCAAAAUCCCCUUCUCCCUUGGAAGAAAUUCAUCUUUUGUUCUUCUAAUUGCACAUGUUAUCUGCCUAACUUUCAGAACUACAUUAAUAACAAUUAUAAUGUCAGAUUUAAAGAAAAAGGGAAUGUCAUGUUAGAAAGAUAACCUUCAGGGAACAUCACACACUGGGGCCUGUUGUGGGGUGGGGGGAGAGGGGAGGGGUAGCAUUAGGAGACAUACCUAAUGUUAAAUGACGAGUUAAUGGGUGCAGCAAACCUGCACGUUGUGCACAUGUACCCUAAAACUUAAAGUAUAAUAAAAAAUACAUACAUAAAUAAAAAUAAAUAAAUAAAUAAAAAAAGGAAAGAUAACCUUCAGAUUUACUCUUUCUGGGACUACUGGAAACCGAGUUAGUUAUUUUCAAUACAUGAGCAUUUAAAUAGAUUUUCUCUGUAAAAUGAUAUGUUUUAAUUGUCUUGUACCUGUGUUUCUGCAAGUUUCAGCACAGAAGUGCAACAACUGCUAUCAGAAUGCCAGAGGUUCAGUCUAGGUCCUAUUGCUCACCGCACAGAAGGCCAGUCAUUGAGAUGAGUAUUGCCAGGUAAGGCCACUUUAUUCCAGUGCUGCAUCCGAAGAGAAUGGGAGGCCAAGUCUCAGCUGUGUUUGGUCAACUGACUUAAAUUAGGAGUUUAUAUGACAGGGAAGAAAUGUAACUAACUACUUGUGGAAAAACAGGAAUUAGAAAGAGGUGAGGAAAAGUAGUUGGUAAGCAGGCAUCAGGUAGUCAGUUGGGCAAUCGUGAUGGGUGAGGGGUGUGGUAUCUCAUUGUCCAGAUGCCAUGAUCUGGUGAGUUUCCACUUCUUAAUACUAUCUGAGAGGGUUGAUGGUUGCUUUCCUGACCAAGGAACUCGGGUAAGACAAAUACGGGUUUUAAAAAUUUUAAGACUAAGAGGGUCAGUUUCCGUAUUUAUUCAAAAAAUUCAUAAAUAUUCAGUAUGUGGGGAAAAUUAGGCUGAUUUCACAAUUGCCCCCAAAAUUCCACCGUCUCAGGAAUAAUGAACAAGGAAGGCUGCAGGCAAGACAUUUUCAAGUUAAUGGUGAAAUUCCCAUUGCCUAUAUCUUAUGACUGUCUCAAAAGAAAAAAAAAAGAAAGAAAGAGAAAGAAAGAAAGAAGGAAAGAAAGAAAGAAGGGAAAGGAAAGAAAAGGAAAGGAGAAAAGAAAAGAAAAAAGAUGAGACUGCGUAAAGACUCAUGUGUUCUAUACUCAUCUGAGAUGAAGCUGCCCCAAAGAUCAAAUUCAGAAAUAAAAGACAUGCAACGUGCUUACUACAUUUGGGGUGAGAAAAAUACUAACAUUUGAAUAAUUUUAACUUUAUAUUUAAAACCUUCCACAUAGUGCUAUAUGGACAUUCCCUUCAAGCUGUAGGGGGAGGGGAAUUUGGCCCAACCUGUGUACAUGUCCCCUUCUCCCUCUCUGAUUUAAAGCAGAUCAAGGCAGACCUGGGGAAGUUUUCAGAUGAUACUGGUAGAUACGUAGAUGUUCUACAGGGCUUAGGACAAACCUCUGACCUCACUUGGAGAGACGUCAUGAUAUCAGAUCAAACCCUGGCCUUUAAUGAAAAGAACAUGGCUUUAGCUGCAGCCUGAGAGUUUGGAGAUACCUGGUAUCUUAGUCAAGUAAGUGAUAGAAUGAUGGCCGAAGCAAGGGACAAAUUCCCUACUGGUCAGCAAGCCAUCCCCAGUAUGGAUCCCCACUGGGAUCUCGACUCAGAUCAUGGGAAAUGGAGACGUAAAAAUCUGUUGACCAGUGUUCUAGAAGGACUAAGGAAAAUUAGGAAGAAGCCAUUGAAUUAUUCAAUGAUGUCCACCAUAACUCAGGGAAAGGAAGAAAAUCCUUCUGCCUUCCUCAAGUGGCUACGGGAGGCCUUAAGAAAAUAUACUCCCCUGUCGCCCGAGUCACUCCAGGGUCAAUUGAUUCUAAAAGAUAAGUUUAUUACCCAAUCAGCUGCAGAUAUCAGGAGAAAGCUCCAAAAGCGAGCCCUGGGCCCUGAACAAAACCUGGAGGCAUUAUUAAGCCUGGCAACCUUGGUGUUCUAUAAUAGGGACCAAGAGGAACACGCCCGAAAGGAAAAGCAAGAUCAGAGAAAGGCCACAGCCUUAGUCACGGCCCUCAGACACACAAACCUUGGUGGUUCAGAGAGGACAGAAAAUGGAGCAGACCAAUGACCCAGUAGGGCUUGUUAUCAGUGUGGUUUGCAAGGACAGUUUAAAAAAGAUUGUCCAACGAGAAACAAGUUGUCCCCUGGCCCAUGUCACUGUGCCAAGGCAAUCACUGGAAGGCACACUUCCCCAGAGGGCAAAUGUUCUCUGGGCCAGAAGCCCCGAAUCAGAUGAUCCAACAACAGGACUAAGGGUGCCUGGGGCAUGUGCCAGCUCAUGUCAUCACCCUCACUGAGCCCCGGGUAUGUGUAACCAUUGAGAGCCAGGAAAUUGACUUCCUCCUGGACACUGGCGUGGCUUUCUCAGUGUCAAUCUCCUGUCCCAGACAGCUGUCCUCAAGGGCCGUUACCCAUGCCUUUCUUGUUAUGCCUGAAAGUCCCAUACCCUUAUUAGGGAGGGCCAUAUUAGCCAAAGCUUGAGCUAUUAUCUACAUUAAUAUGGGGAACAAGUUACCCAUUUGUUGUCCCCUGCCUGAGGAGGGAAUCAACCCUGAAGUCUGGACAUUGGAAGGAACAAACUCAAGCUCCAGCCUUAAGCCUUCCCACAGGACAAAACUUCUCUUUAUACGUCACAGAGAGAGCAGGAAUAGCUCUUGGAGUCCUUACUCAGACUCGUGAGACACUCCACAACCAGUGGCAUACCUAAGUAAGGAAAUUGAUGUAGUAGCAAAAGGCUGGCCUCACUGUUUACAGGUAUUUGUGGCGGUGGCCAUCUUAGUGUCAGAGGCUAUCAAAAUAAUGCAAGGAAAGGAUCUAACUAUCUGGACUACUCAUGAUGUAAAUGGCAUACUAGGUGCCAAAGGAAGUUUGUGGCUAACAGACAACUGCCUGCUUAGAAACCAGGUGCUACUCCUUGAGGGAAUGGUGCUUCAAAUAUGUACAUGUGUGGCCUUCAACCCUGCCAGUUUUCUCCCAGAGGAUGGGGAACCAAUUGAGCAUGACUGCCAACAAAUUAUAGUCCAGACUUAUGCCACCCGAGAUGAUCUCUUAGAAGUACCCUUAGCUAAUCCUGACCUUAACCUAUAUACCAAUGGACCUUAACCUAUAUACCAAUGGAAGUUCAUUUGUGGAGAAUGGAAUAUGAAGGGCUGGUUAUGCCAUAGUUAGUGAUGUAACUAUACUUGAAAGUAAGCCUCUUCCCCCAGGGACCAGCGCCCAGUUAGCAGAACUAGUGGCACGUACCCAAGCCUUAGAACUGGGAAAGGGAAAAAGAAUAAAUGUGUAUACAGAUAGCAAGUAUGCUUAUCUAAUCCUAUAUGCCCAAGCUGCAAUAUGGAAAGAAAGGGAGUUCCAAACCUCUGGGGAACCCCCAUUAAAUACCACAAGGAAAUCAUGGAGUUACUGCACACAGUGCAAAAACCCGAGGAGGUGGCAGUCUUACACUGCCGAAGCCAUCAAAAAGGGGAAGGAGAGGGGAGAACAGCAGCAUAAGUGGCUGGCAGAGGCAGGGAAAGAUCAGCAGAAAGGAAAGAGAGAAAGAGAGAGACAGAAAGUCAGAGAGACAGGAAGAGACAGACAAAGAGGGAGUCAGAAACAGAAAAAGAAAGAGAGACAAAGAAGUCAAAGAGAAAGACAGAGAUAGAGGUAGUAAAGAAAAAAAGUGUACCUUAUUUCUUUAAAAGCCAGGGUAAAUUUAAAACCUAUAAUUGAUAAUGGAAGGUCUUCUCUGUAACCUUAUAACACUCAAAUCCCACCUUGUUGUCAGUGUAAACAAGGGCACAGCCCAAAAGCACUGAGUCCACUGACAAUCCAUAGCCUUCCUAUCAAAAAUCCUUAACCCAGCAGGUUUCUUAACAGGGGAUCUAAAUCUUAAUUAUCAUACAAAGGUCCGACCAGCUCUAGGAGGAAUCCCUUCAGGACAGGACAAUAGAUGGUUCCUCCCAGGUGAUUAAGGGAAAAAGACACAAUAGAUAUUCAGUAAGUGAUAAGGAAACUCUUACAGAAGCAGAGUUAGGAAAAUUGCCUAAUAAUUGGUCUGCUCAAACUUGCCAGUUGUUUGCAUUCAGCCAAAUCUUAAACUACUUACAGAAUCAGGAAAGAGCCAUCUAUACCAAUUCUAAGUUAUUAUGGACUGAAUGAGGUUUUAUUAAUAGCAAAGAAAAAUUAAAAUCCCAAACUUACAAGGUUUUCAACUAAAGUAAACGUCACUAAAAGUUAACAGUGGAACAUGUAUUAUCCUACUACCACACACUCAAAGGAUUUCUCAGACAGUUUGCAAGAAAUAACGAACUCUAUCCUUACUCUACAAUCCCAAAUAGACUGUUCGGCAGCAGUAACUCUCCAAAACCGCUGAGGCCUAGACCUCCUCACUGCUGAGAAAGGACUCUGCAGCUUCCUAGGGGAAGAGUGUUGUUUUUACACUAACCGGUCAGGGAUAGUACACAAUGCUGCCCGGCCGGUGUUUACAGGAAAAGGUUUCUGAAAUCAGACAAUGCCUUUCAAACUCUUACACCAACCUCUGGAGUUGGGCGACAUUGCUUCUCCCCUUUCUAGGUCCCAUGACAGCCAUCUUGCUAUUACUAUUAUUUUGUGUUUCUUUGCUUAGAAGUUCUUUAAGGUAAGCAGCUGCUGGAAGCAGAGCCAAUAACUGCUAGUAAUUCCAGUUGUUGGAACAGUAUACUUGUGCUAAAAUGCCAUAUUUCCAUCCCUGAAUACUACAUGUAAACUUUUUUUUUCAACUGUAGUCCAGCAUUUUACUUAUCCUCUUCUGUGCAUUCUUUAGCAGAGCCCUCUUUAAUUUAUCAUACAGCAUAUGCUCUGGCAAAUCCAAAUGAAUUCCAAAGAAAAUAGAUCCAGUAAUGGACCACAAACUCACUCCUUAAACUCUUUUUAGUGACACUAUGAUUUUGACCAUUUUAAGACAAUGACUUAGCCAUAGAUAAGAAACCUCAGCUGAUCUGUAGCUGCUGUACAGCAUUGAAUAAUAUACGAUGGAAUUAACCUGCAUGUCACAGUUUCUGGCCAAAGCUGCCAGAUUUUUUGCAGCAAACAUUUGGAAUCAGGCACACAUGCAUUUAAAUGUUUGAACUGUUGCUUAUUAAUUGGGAAAUUUGGAACCGUAAAUAAGUUGCAGCAUUUUCUGAUUUUGCAGCACGAUUAUCUGACUUCUGUAUGAUCUUUCAAGGUUAACUCAUGAAUAUGUUAGAACAUAUUCCAUGAUGUUUCAUGGCUCCCAGACAUAACUCUCAGUCUUAAAGGUAUUUCAAAUUGGAAACUAAAGCCUUUGCUUGUUUUUUCUCCUACUUGUAUUAAAUUCAGAUAUUAUAUUUCAUGUCUUCAAUGAUACUUUAGGCAGAAAUGCAAAUUAACUUGCCCUCUCUCUUUUUGUUACACAGGCCUAACAAAAUCUCAGCUUUGGAUGAACUUACCGGUUUGGUUUUAUCUAUAUAUAUGUUUAUACAGUUUUAUUUAAAUAGCUAUGCCCAAUCAAAAAAUGCCCACUGAUUACUGUUACCUGUUGUAUUACUCUGUUCUCAAUGCUGCCAUGAAGAAAUACCCGACUGAGUAAUUUAUAAAGAAAAGAGGUUAACUGACUCAGAGUUUCGCAAGGCUGGAGAGGCCUCAAGAAACACACAAUUAUGGCAGAAGGGGAAGCAAACACGUCCUUCUUCACAAGGCAGCAGGAAGGAGAAGUCCCAAGCAAAGGUGGGGAAAAGCCCUUUAUUAAACCAUCAGAUCUUGUGAGAACUCACUCACCAUCAUGAGAACAGCAUGAGGGAUAAUUUAGGGUAUCUGGUGGAAGAAAUUUCCAAGCAGCAAAGCAUUUUACUUAGGUGCUGUUAAAAUCAUUCAAUUUUAUGUAUUCACAAAGAUAUUGUUUGGAAUUGGAAUGUGUGUUUAAAAGGCAAGCAGAGCAUAAAAGUUUGGAAAAUUUGCAGCCUGACAAUGAGAUAGAAAAGAAAAACUCAUUUUCUGAGGUGAAAUUCAAGCUAGCCAUAGAAAUUUGCAUAAGUAACAAAUGUUAAUUGCCAAAACAAUGGGAAAAAUGUGUCCAGGGCAUGUCUUAAGUCUUCGUGGCAGCACCUCCCAUCACAGGCCCAGAGGUGUAGUAGGAAAAAAAUGGUUAGGUUGGUUGGUUCCAGAGCCUUGCUGCUUUUUGCAGUCUUGGGACUUGGUGCCUUGCAUCCCAACUGUGGCUAAAAGGGGACAAUGUAGAGCUCAUGCCAUUGCUUCAGAGGGCAAGCCCCAAGCCUUGGUGGCUUACACAUAGUGUUGAGUCUGUGGGUGCACAGAAGUCAAUAAUUGAGUUUUGGGAACCUCCACCUAGAUUUUAGAGGAUUUAUGGAAAUGCCUGGGUAACCAGACAAAAGUUUGCUGCAGGAGCUGAGCCCUCAUGUAGAGUCUCUGCUAUGGCAGUGUGGAAAGGAAAUGUGAGGUUGGAUACUCCACAUAGAGUCUCCACUGGAGCACUGCCUAGUGGAGCUGUGAGAAAAGGGCCACCAUCCUCCAAACACCAGAAUGGUAGAUCCACCAACAGCUUGCACUGUGCACCUGGAAAAGCCAUAGUUACUCAAUGCCAGCUUGUUAAAGCAGCCAGGAGUGGGGCUGUACCCUGCAAAGCCACAGGGGUGGAGCUGCCCAAGGCCAUGGGAGCCUACCUCUUGCAUCUGUGUGCCCUGGAUGUGAGACAUGGAGUCAAAGAAGAUCGUUCUGGAACUUUAAAGUUUAAUGACUGCCCUAUUGGAUUUUGGACUUGGAUGGGGCCUGUAGCCCCUUUGUUUUGGCCAGUUUCUCCCAUUUGAAAUAGAUGUAUUUACUCAAUGCCUGUACGCUCAUUGUACCUGUGAAGUAAUGAUCUUGCUUUUGAUUUUAUAGGCUCAUAGGCAGAAGGGACUUGCCUUGUCUCAGAUGAAACUUUGGGCUUGAACUUUUGAGUUAAUGCUGGAAUUAAUUAAGAUUUGGGGAACUGUUGGAAGGGCAUGAUUGUGUUUUGCAAUGUGAGAAGGACACGUGAUUUGGGAAUGGCUGGGGCAGAAUAGUGUGGUUUGGCUGUGUCGCCACCCAAAUCUCAUUUUGAAUUGUAGUUCCCAUAAUCCCCACAUGUCGUGGGAGGCACCCAGUGGGAGGUAGUUAAAUCAGGGGGGCUGUUGCCCUUACGCUGUUCUCAUGAUAGUGAGUGAGUUCUCCCAAGAUCGGAUUGUUUUACAAGGGGCUUUUCCCCUCCUUUUGCUCGAAUUUUUCUUUUCCCUACCAUCCUGUGAAGAAGGACAUGUUUGCUUCCCCUUGCCCCAUGAUUGUACGUUUCCUGAGGCUGCCUGAGCCAUAUUGCAUUGUGCAUCAACUAAACCUCUUUCCUUUAUAAAUUACCCAAUCUUGAAUAUAUCUUGAAUAUGUCCUUAUAGCAGCAUGAGAAUGGACUAUUACAGUAUUACAGUAGUUUGGGUUUUUGUUGUUGUUGUUGUAGUAGUUUUUAAUCACUAUCUCACUUUCUGUCAUUAUGAGAUACUCAAUGCUUAUUUUGUGUAUUUUCUGCCCUAAUCCUAGAAUCACCCAUUUCUAUAAGGAGCCCUCUUUUCUUUUAUUGGAGAAUGUUAUUCAAAAAAAAGACCUGAGCACUAGAUACGGUAGUUUCUCUCUGUAGCACUUUUCAUAGACUGCAGAUAUUUAUAUAACUAAUUAUUUAGUUUAAUUUUUAAAUAUAUCUUAACUACAUGAGAAACUAGCUUUGUACCAUCAGGAACCUCUAGUAGGGACGAUGGCAUAGACAUUACCUGUAAUGAUAUUUAAAAUUUAAGAUUGUGGUGUUUAUCUUAGAAUAUUUUCUUAACUAAAAAAUACAAUUAAUGAGUUAUGCAUUGGUAUUUAGUUGUGUGAUUAGUGCAAUGCUCUAUGUUAUAGUCUACAUAGCAAUGAUAGGUUUAAUUAAACAGAAGGUAAAAUGCUUAAUUUAUAAUAAUAUAAUAUAAAACCACAAAUAACUGAGAAAUGCAGAAUAUCCAUUACAUCUGCAUUCUUAUUUUUAAAACUAUGUCCUUUGGCCGGGCACGGUGGCUCACACCUGUAAUCCCAGCACUUUGGGAGGCCGAGGAGGGCAGAUCAUGAGGUCAGGAGAUUGAGAUCAUCAUGGCUAACAUGGUAAAACCCUGUCUCUACUAAAACUACAAAAAAUUAGCCAGGCGUGGUGGUGGGCACCUGUAGUCCCAGCUACUCAGGAGGCUGAGGCAGGAGAAUGGUGUGAACCCGGGAGGUGGAGCUUGCAGUGAGACAAGAUUGCGCCACUGCACUCUGGCCUGCUGACAGAGCGAGACUCCAUCUCAAAAAACAAACAAACAAAAAACUAUGUCCUUUAUAAUGUGACUGCAAUUAGAAAAAAUAUUUUAAAAUGUUUAUGAAGCAUAUAUAGAUUUUAAUUCAAAGUCAGUAUUAUUUGGAAUCUGUUAAAUAUGAUCACCACUCUUCUGCUAGCCAUUAACCCCUAGAAAAUGUCACUGGUUUGACAGCUAAAAAUUUUUAAAGGGAAUUUCAACUUUUUAAAAUGCAAUUCUCCUUUUGUGAAAUGUAGUUAACCCGUAUUUCUCUAUAAGGCUCAUUGACACUUAUACCAUACUGCCAUACUGUUGCUUUUUAUGGAAUGACGUGCCAGAAGAUAUGGCUAAAUCACACAGAUGCUUGAUAAAAGGAGUUCAAUCCACUACUUCUAUUUGUCUUACUCUAAUUCUGUCUUUACAAUUAAAGAUCAUGACAUAAUUUCAUAUUAAUGUACUCAAGUUUAUAAAUGUAACUUGUAAAAUUAAAAACAAUUAAAAUUAUGUCUUAUUUGCAACACUGAAAAUUAUUAGCAUUAGACUUUUUGAUGCCAUAUAGAAUGAGAUAUAACUUGACAUUCUUAGGUUAAAUACAUUAUUUAAUAUAUUUUGUGCUUUAGUAUCUGACUUGGGCAUUGAGGAAGGCACUUAAGCCCUAUUUGUGGUGCAUUUGUUUUCUUUAACUAUCCCCAAAAUGUCAGAAAUGAAAAGAAUCUCAAAAAUCUUCUAGCCCACGAACAUUUACUUCUCUUAAGCAAUAACAACUUUCUUCAAACUCUGUCUUUCAUAGAAACAUAUAUACAAUAGAAAGUAGAUUUUUAUUAAUUUUAAUACUUUGGAGUAUAUAUUUUAUUAUGAAACAGACAAGUGAAAAUCAUGAAAUAAUUUAAUCUUAACAUCAAACUUUUGAAGUGUUUUUGAGUAGUAAAAAACAUAAUUAAGGGAAGAUUACAUAAAGCCUUGCAGGACAUAGUGAAGAAUUUGGCUUUUACUUUUAUUGUAAUGAGGAAUUAUAGUGGUCAGACUUAAAGACAGUCCCAAUUAUUUCUGACUCCUGGUGUCCUUGAAUGUGUGUGGAGAUUAUUUGUUUCAUGAUUUUCUUCUAAACAACAGAAAACAACAAAAUUGUUGACUGUUAUUAUGAAUUUUACCUGUAAUUGUAACAUCUGUCUUGCUAGUAGCCUUUCUCUCUUGUCGAAGGGUGAUGAAGCAACUUAUUGUGGCAGAGAGGCCCCCUUGACAGGGAAACGGGUGAUCUCCAGCCAGCAGACAUCCAGCAACUGAAAGAGGCACAAGGCUGAAAUUCAUCCAGUGACUGUGGUUCUUAUUUAUGCAACUCUCAAGGAACUUAAUGCCACCAACCAUCACAUGAACUCGCAAUGCGAUCGUUCCCUCAUCAGGUCUUGAGAUGGAAUUGCACCCUUCGUCUCAAGAUGCUGUAAUAAAGGAGUUGGCUGAGGGUUCAGUUUAAUCUCAAGGAUCCAGUUUCUGCAGUUUGACCUCAAGGACUGCACUUUCAGCAGAGGACCUAGCUAGGCAGUGCUCAAACUCCUGACCCACAAAAAUAAUGAAUGUGACAUAAAUAAGGGUGUGUUGCUUACAGCCACUAUAUUUGUAGGCAUUUUUUACACAACAAUAUAUAUCUAAUACAGAAGUAUUACAGGGUUUUAGCAGAGAGUCAUCCGUGUUUUAAUUACAUAGUGAAUUAAUCACUCUGGUUGCAUUUUGCACUAUAAGCUCUAUGUGGAAGACAGGAGAUCAACUGGAGCUCUGAUGCAAGAAUUUGAAAGUGGCUUACAAUAAUUCAUAGAAGAGCAGUGCAAGUGUCUAGAAAUGGCUAAAUUCUAGAUGGAUUUGAAGGAGGAGCUGAAAGGAUUUAGGAAUAUAUUAAAUUAUAUGUGUGUGAGGAAGUGAGGAAUCAAAUUUUUAGUGCAUAGGUAAGUAGAAAGAUGACAGUUGUUAUUAGCAGAGAUGGAUGAAUUAUAAAGAGAGCACACGCAAAGAGCAGCAUGGUAGAUUAAAAUUCUAGUAUUUAACAUAUUAAGUUUUAUUCUUUUUCUUUAGGUGUCUAGUGGAGAAGUCAAGUAGCUAGGCAGAUAUACAUGCCUAGAAUUCAGAAGAAAAGUCCAGAUUGGCAAUAUAAAUUUGGAAGCUGUAAAUGCAUAAUGAUAAUUAAAGCCUUAGUACUAAAUGAGAGAUAAUCAAGAAAGAGCACUCGAUAAUAAAAAAUAAACUAUCUAAAAAUGAAACUUGGACCCUUUGAAUUUCAUGGCCAUAAAGAAGAGAAAUUGCCAAUAAAAGAAGCUAAAGAGGAAUGUCUAUAAAGCAAGUAAGGUGUUUGUAGGCCGUUAUCAAUGUCUAAAAUAUUCUGUUGGAGUAAGCCUGGAAAAUGUUAACAAUUAAACGUUGGGUUUUCAACACAGAAGUCAUUGGUGGCCUAAAGAGGAGUAGUUCUGAUGAUACGGUGGGGAUGAAGUUUAAUUGGAUAGAGAUUGUGAGUAAAUGAGAUACGGAAAAUUGGGUAUAGGAUUACAGACAAACGUUGAUAAAGAGGAGUAGAAAAAAGGAUUGACAACUAAAUGUAGAAACUAGACUGAAGAGUGUUCUUUUUAUUUCUUAAAGAAGGGAUGGAUAAUAGAAUAUUAAUAUGCUUAUGUAGAAAAUUAAAUAUACAAAAUACAAAAAGAGAGAGAGUAUAAUUUCUAAGAAUCCAACUAAUAGUUAUAUUUUCCAGCCCUAGACUUCCUGAUGCAUUGCCAAUCUUGUCGAAUUCACUGUUAAUAUAGUUUUGUCUCCUUUCUAUUGGUUGCUUCCUAACUUUAAUUAAUUAAUUCAUUAAUUUCAGACAGGGUCUCACUCUGUCACCCAUGCUGGAGUGCAGUGGCACAAUCUCAGCUCACUACAACCUCCACAUUCCAGGCUCAAGCAAUCCUCCCACCUCAGCCUCCAGAGCAGCUGGGGCUACAGGCUUGGGUCCCCAUGCCCAGAUAAUUUUUUGUAUUUUUAGUAGGGAUGAGUUUUUGCCAUAUUGCCCGGGCUGGUCUCGAACUACUGGCCUCAAGCGAUCUGCCUGCGUUGGCCUCUUACAGUGCUGGAAUUAUAGGCAUAAGCCAUCACUCCAAGCCUGCUUCCUGACUUUAAACUUCACUCUUUCUUGUAUGGACUACUAAAGAAGACUAACACACCAUUUAAGAACAUGCUUCCACUGGUGUAUCUGCCACUGGGGUUUCCCAAUCAUUGUGUGAUGCUCAUUUAUGUGUGGUUUUAAUCAUUCAUGUACUCUGCUUCUGACUAUCCUAUUUCAGUUUCCUAUGAAACCUGUCCUUGUUUAUUUUUUUCUUUCUUCAAACAAUUUUUAUGCAGCAGCAUAUUAUUUGGGAAUUUUACAUCAUCCAGCCAUCUUCAUGAUAUAAAUAAAAAAGGCAAGGAGUAGGAAAUGAACCAUCUUAUACAGAACAUUAAUUUUUCUUGCAUAUUAAUUUUGCUGAGUAAAUUGGGCUUUGAAUUAGUACAUAUUGUUCUUUAUGAAAUCCUAUUAUAUAGAUGAUUAUCUGAGCCUUUUCUUCAGGGUACACUGAAGAAUACACUCUUCUAUAGUGACUUACCUGAUGGAAAUUUUGUUACCUAGUUUUGAUAUUACUAAAAUUUUUUAAACCUGUGUGUUUGGUACACUCAUGUAUGCAUUUAAUUGUAACUGAAGUAGUAUUCAGGUGUAUUCAUUGAGAAAAAAUUCUUACCCUUGAGAAGGAUUGGAUUGUUAAAUUUUUAAAAAGAGUUAGAAAAAAUCUUUGGCUUGUACAAUGUUACUCUCUAGGUUUUUGAGGAAAUUUAAGACAAAUGGAAUGGAUUGUUUAUAUCAUCAGAGAUUAUUUAUAGCAUCAGAGAUAUAAUUUUGCUUAGAUCUUUAACAUCUUACUGGACAUUUCUAUUUAAAUGUGAUAACAGUAAUAACCAAUACAUGUGAUGCUUUUAUUUACACAUUACAAGGACAGGCACUGCUCUACACCUGUUACACAAUUUAAAUUACAUACUGUUUACUAGAUAUCUACGAGUUGAGAGCUAUUUGUAUCUUCAUUUAAUUCAUGAGGAUACUUGUAUAAAAAUAAAAAAAAAUCUUGUCCAAAAUGACACAGAGUGUAAGAGUUGAUACCUGAAUUAGAAUCCAUGGAGUCUAGAUCCACAUCAUCGUAUUAUUCUGCCUUUCUAAAGAAGGAAUGAAAGAAAACAGGGAUCAGCUCAUGUAACAGAAGUCAGGGGAAAGCACUUUCCAAAGAUUCGAACCCCAGCAAUAAAACAAGAGAAUACUCUUUCUCAAAUACACUGCCUUUUUAUUAGGGUUGCUUCUUUUAGUAUAUUUAUCUUAUUAUGUACUACUCAAGAAUACCUUCCUCUAAAUUAAUUAAUGAAAACAUACUUAUUCUAAUGAAGGAGCAUUCUAGAGAAAGAUUUUCACUGGUCUGGCUUUGGUAGUCACCAUUAUCUGGGGCAUUUAUUCACACACAUAUCUCAAAUAUAGGGCUGGGAGACAGUGUGGCUUUGGUUGGCUUUCCCCCGUACCCAUAUUUACGCGGGAGACUAGCAGUUCCAGCAAAGAGAGGUGGAGACACAGGUGUGCAUAGAGGAAAAUAUAAACAUGUGGUACCCAAAACAUUAAAUGACAACAGUCAUUUAAUGGCUAAAAUGUGUGCAAGUACGGAUUCCAAAAUCAACUGUGUGAUUCUCAAAGAGUUGGACAUUAUUAAAGGUAAUCAUUCUAAACAACUUUACUCUCAGGGACUUCCUUACUUUAUUUUUCUUCCUCUUUGAGUGAGGAUAAUGGAGGGUAGAGAAAAAGGUUACUGGCAUUCACCAUUAACUCCAAGCUUCCUUAGGCUCCUAGAUAAUCACUUCCUUUGUGGUCAGACAAACCCUACUCCUCUGAAGUUCAUUCCACUGUACUGAGUCCUUCUCACCAUCCUGAUUGCAAUCAUCUCACCACAUCUUGGCCUUUCUGCCUCAUUUUUCCAAAACAUUAGCACCAAGACCUCAGUUUUCUUUCCAACCUGUGUUUUAAAAGCAUUCCUAGAUACUUUAAAUUCCUCCCAUGCAGAUGCAGAUGUCUGAAACACCACCAAAUCCUCUCAUUUACUUAAACUAUUGAUCUCUAUUUAAAAUUCUCUACACUUCACCUUACUCAGAAGCUUGUAUGUUUAUACCUGGAAUAUCUAAUCACCAUAAAAUACGCUGCUUUGAAAAUCAUUAAUUCAGUGCCUUAAUGUAAUGAACCAGUCUUCUACAUCACUUCAUUAGGCAAUCUCAUUACAACCAUUAUUUAAUUUCACUGCAUACAUUUGCUUUUAUCUUACCCCAAAUUUAGUUUCAAUAAACUAUAAACAAUACCAAUUUAUUUAGCUCAUAAAUAAACAAUACCAAUUUAUUUAGCUCAAAACUGUGGUCCUAGGUUGGGGGUUUUCAACUGGUCCCCCUCAUGUCUCUGUGGACAACUCUCGGGUUACCUGAGGAUUGGCUGGUGAUAUAGUUUGAAUACAUAUUUCUGCCAAAUCUUGUGUUGAAUUGUAAUCCCCAGUAUUGAAGGUGGGGCCUGGGGGAAGGUGACUGGAUCACAGUAGCACACCCCUCAUGUCUUGGUGUUGUCCUCACAAUAGUGAGUGACUUCUCACAAGAUCUAGCUGUUUAAAAGUGUGUGGCACUGGCCGGGCGUGGUGGCUCACGUCUGUAAUCCCAGCAUUUUGGAAGGCUGAGGCGGGCGGAUCAUGAGGUCUAGAGAUCUAGACCAUCCUGACCAACAUGAUGAAACCUCAUCUCUACUUAAAAUACAAAAAUUAGCUGGGCGUGGUGGCAUGCGCCGGUAGUCCAAGCUAUUCGGGAGGCAGAGGCAGGAGAAUUGCUUGAACCCAGGAGGUAGAGGUUACACUGAGCCAGGAUCACACCACUGCACUCCAGCCUGGGAGACAGGGCGAGACUCCAUCUGAAAAAAAAAAAUGUGUGUGGCACCUCUCCCCAUACUUGCUCUUGCUUUUGCUAUGUGUCAUGCUGGCUUAUGCUUUGCCUUCCACCAUGAGUAAAAACUCCCUGAGGUCCCUGAUCCCCACAGCCUCCCAUUAGCUGGGCAGACGUCAAGACCAUGUUUCCUUUGCAUCCUAAAGAACUGUGAGCCAAGUAAGCCUCUUUUAUUUAUAGAUUUCCAAGCCUCAGAUCUUUAUUUACAACAAUGCAAGAAUGACCUAAUACAGAAAAGUGGUAUUAAGAGUGGAUUAUUGCUAUAAAAUACCUGAAAAUGUGGAGCAGCUUGGAACUGAGUAACAGGCAGAGGUUAGAAGAGUUUGGAGAGCUCAGAAGAAAACAGGAAGAUGAGGGAGAGUUUGGAACUUCUUAGAGACUGGUUAAAUGGUUGUGACCAAAAUGCUAAUAGUGAUAUCAGCAAUGAAGUCCAGGAUAACGAGGUCUCAGAAGGAAAUGAGAAACUUAUUGGAAACUGGAACAAAGGUCAUACACAUUAUGCCUUAGCAAAUAGCUUAGCAUCAUUGUUUCCCUAUCCUAGGGAUCUACAGAAAUUUAAACUUGAGACUUAUGAUUUAGGGUACAAGAAAUUUCUAAGCAGCAAGUCAUUCAAGGGGUGACUUGGCUGCUUCUAAUAGCCUAUUCUCAGAUGCAAGAGCUUAAAGUUAUAAUUUAUACUUAAAAGGGGAACAGAGUAUAAAAGUUUGAAGGGGAGGAGUUGCCCAGGCCUCAGGAGCCCACCAUUCACCCCAGUGUGACCUGGAUGCACAAUAUGGAGUUAAAGGAGAUUAUUUUGGAGCUUUAAGAUUUAAUGACUGUUCUGUUGGGUUUUUGAAUUGCAUGAGCAUGUAGCUUCUUUUUUUUGGUUGAUUUCUCCCUUUUGGAAUGGGAAUAUUUACCCAAUGCCUAUACCUCCAUUGUCUCUUUGGAGUAAAUAAUUUGUUUGACUUUACAGGCUCCUAAGUGGAAGAAAUUCAUCUUCAGAUGAAACUUUGUACCUGGACCUGAGACAUUAGAGUUAAUGCUGGAAUGAGUUAAGAUUUUGAGGGACUGCUGAGAAGGGAUAAUUGUAUUUUGCAAUGUGAGAAGAACAUGAGACUUAAAGAACCAAGAGCAGAAUUAUAUAGUUGUAAAAUACAUCCCCACCAAAUCUCCUGCUGAAUUGUAAUCUUCAUGUUGGAGGUAGGGCCUAGUGAGAGAUGGUUGGAUCAUAGGGGUGGAUCCUUCAUGGCUUGGGGCUGUUCUUGUGAUAGUGAGUGAGUUCUUGUGAGAUGUGGUUGUUUAAUUGUGUGUAGCACCUCCCUUCUCCACUUGCUUUUACUUUCAUCAUGUGACUUGGUGGCUCUUGCUUUGCUAUCCACCAUAGGCAAAAUCUCCCUGAGAUUUCUGCUCCCUGUGGCCCCCCAAAAGGUGAACAGAUGUCAGUGCUAUGUUUCUCAUGCAGCCUGCAGAACCGCGAGCCAAUUAUACCUCUUUUCUGUAUAGAUUAUCCAGCCUCAGAUAUUUCUUUAUAGCAAUGCAAGAAUGACCUACUAUAGCUGGCAUCAGAUGGUCUCAACUGAGCUAGCUCGUCUCUGCUACAUAUAGUCUUUCAUCCUCCAGGCUUUUUCUCAUAAUGACUGGGAAGGAUUCCAAGAGAGCCAGCAGGAGCUUGUAAGGGUGUCUGAGGUCUAAACAUAGUUCUGACACAAAGUCAUUUCUGCUCAAUCUAAUUUUUCAGAGUUAGUCGUAAGUAUUGACAGGAGACAUGGUAAAGUUGCAUUGCAAAUAGAUAUGAAUUGUAGGAAGGGAAUAAUUAUAGCAAUUUAUUUCAGGAAAAUAAUAGAUUUAUCAUUGUCAGUCCUCCAAAUCUAAUCAUUUACAUCCCUCUUCUUCACCUCCUCCCAAGACCACCAAAUCUCCAAAUCUCCUCUGAUCAAUGGUGUUAUGUUUGACAACCAGGACCUCAACCAUCAAUAAGAGAUAUAUAAGUGGUCCCUCUUGAUUAAGGUGCCUAUGAACAAAGAUUAACAAGCCAGCCUUCCUCUACAUAUGCAAAGUACACUGGAGAGACAAGGAGAGGAUAUGCAGGAGAUACUCUCAUAUAACAUUAUAUACAUAUAAUGUGUAUGUGUGUGUAUAUAUAUACACACGAUAUGUAUGUACACACAUUAUAUGUAUAUACACAAUGUAUGUGCGUAUACACAUAUAUAUAGUGUGUGUGUAUAUAUCUGUUGUGCGUGUAUAUGUGUAUAUGUGUAUACACGUUGUGUAUGUGUGUAUAUGCACACGUACAACAGCCACUGGUCUACAGCAAUGACUGAAAUUCCAACGGGAAAAUGUUGCCAGCUUCUCCAAGACCAGACCAGAAUGUUUGUUCAUUAGAACUCAGUUCUGUUCCCUGGGAAAAGCUCUCCAGGCUAUUGCUUUUUAAUGCUUCUUGGGAACAACUUCAUAAUCCACUGGUCUGUAAAGUUUUCUGGGAGUGGCUCCUUAAUGCAUUGUUCUUCAUGCUUCUCUCCAUGAUCCUCAGCUCGACACCCUGAAAUAUUGUGUUAUUUUCUCAAAGUAAUGAUCUGUGUUUGUAUGGUGAUAACUAUUGAUGAGUUGGUAGAUGAUUCUGUAUGUUUGUGUGUGAGUAGCCUGCUUUAUGUUCACAUAAAGUUAAAAUGCCAGAAGCCUUUCUUGUAAUUUGAGCUGUCUCAGUCACUUUUAAUCUAAGUUACCAGUGUUUUCAGCCGCAUACUUUUCUAACAAUUUUGGAUGUUUUUUGAGGUUGAGUAAACUUCAUUACCAAAAUUUACAUAACAUUUUAAUUCUAGACAGGUAGAUGCCAAUGCAUUUAUUUAGAAGAAACAUACCAUUCAGCUCUUGGUUUUAUCUUUGUCCAUAGGGCUUGUUUCACUUCAAAAUCUGUAAUUAUCUGUGAAUCCUACAUGCUAAACAAAGUUUAUUUUCCAAUAUAACACAACUGGUCCUAUAUAUUUUCUGUAAAUUCUUUUUUAAAACAUUAAUUCUUUCUAUAACUCACCUUUUUCAGUGACUUAACAGUGACAGCUAGGUACUCAGGUGACACAUUCAAAAAUAUGCCUAGAUCUGUCUUUAGCUAAGUCCAAAGAUCUUUUAGUGCACUUUAUAUCUUCUAAAUUAAUUUAGGUGGUAGUUUUGACAAUUGUUCCACUAAUACAGAUGUCAUUUUUCCAGACUCCAGUUAUACUAUAUUCAUUAAUUCUGCAGUCUUUGCUAAAAAUAUAUCAUUUUUCAAGCUCUACAUGCCACUUGGUCUUAAAGCUAGUUUUACUUUGAAAUAGGAGAGGUCCCCAGAUGAUCUUGGCCUUGUCAGUUCUUUCCUCUCUGCUUGUAGCUCUCAGAAUAUCUGCAAAUGCAAUAUCCUGAGAUAAGGAAGAAAUGUCUAGAACAGCCUGCGCUGUGUCCUCAUGUCUACCAAAACAAAUUGUCCUGCAAUACUUUAACUCAGUGAUCCUUGUUGUGCCUGGUAUAUAAAAUCCAAUAUGGAAUGCUUUUGGUGUCUCUCAGCUGCUGUGCAAUGUGGUGCAUGCACAGACAGCACUCCACCUGCCCUGGGCAGCUUUCCUGAUUCUUUUUUUUUUUUUUAAUUAUUAUUAUUAUACUUUAAGUUUUAGGGUACAUGUGCACAACGUGCAGGUUUGUUACAUAUGUAUACAUGUGCCAUGUUGGUGUGCUGCACCCAUUAACUCGUCAUUUAGCAUUAGGUAUAUCUCUUAAUGCUAUCCCUCCCCCCUCCCCACACCCCACAACAGUCCCCUGUGUGUGACGUUCCCCUUCCUGUGUCUUGAUUCUUAAAAGACCGGUUCUCCAUGAAUCCUACACUUCUAUUUAUCCUUGCUGCCUGUCUGCUUUGCCUGACUUGUGUGAAUGUUCUGUAUCCCCAGACUCAAAUGGUAGAAAACCUUUGCACACAUUUUUUAGGAUUUUAUUAUGGCAAGGCCACAGUUCUAAUACUUGACUUGUAGCAUGAGAAAACUUCUACUAUGGAAAACAAGCCAGAAUAAUACCAAAAAAUGAGGUAAUGACUGCUUAGGCGAACUUAAGAAACGCUUCCCAUUAAUUCGUUACUGUCAAACUGAAAGAGAUACUUCCAGUGACACACUAAAAGCUUGAUUUAUGGCACUAAUAUAUUAGACAUUUACCUUCAGUGACAUUAAGAGAAGCAUAUCGAUUAAACUGUAUGAAUAAUUUGAUGUUAAGACAGGAUUAAUACAAGUAACAAAAUAAACUUUCCAAAUGAUGUUAAUAUACUGUUAUGAACAACAUGAAUUUAAAAGGAUAGCCAUACACAACUCUACAGCCAUGUACAACUCUACAGGAAAACAAAACAAAAAUUAAAAACAAAAGAUGUAACACAUACACCCACAAACCAACUGCAUAACCACAUCCUCUUCACUGUGUAACUUAGAAGAUCAGGUAUAAAAAGGAACAUAGGGCUAUGUUUCUAAAAUAUUUUCAUAUGACAAAAUUAUUACUUAAUUUUGAGGUCCUUGAUGUAUGUUAGUAUAAUAAAGACUGAGUAAUUAUUGUUAUAAAGACAUCUAAUAUUCUUUGUGUGUGUGUUUAAGAUUUCCUCAUGUAUAUUUAAAUGUAGAGCAGUUCCUUUUUGUCUGGGACAUAUCUAUUGGUGUCUGUUUCAGUCUUAAUUUACUGAAAGAGCUCUUCUUGGUUACAUAUUGAUUAUUUUGCAUUGGUUUAUUUUUGUGUAUAUUUUGACUUAGGAGCUUUUAAUCUUUGCUACUCUUCAGAGUUUAAUAAACAGGUUUGUUUUUAUCAAAUAAAAUGAGUAAAUAAGAGGGCACCAAUUUUACACAAUUGUUUGGAAGUAAUAGUGUCAGAAUCUGACAAUCUCAUGACAACAUUUAAGUAUGUGCACUAUGAAAGAAUAAUUGUAAUGUCCUUGAAAGUGGAAUAUUUGUAUACUAUUAUUUACUGCAGGCCCUGAUAUAAUGUGAAAAUGACAACAGGUGCUAGAUAAAUAUUUGUAAUGUUAGUGAUCUUUAAUAUUGGCACUUUCCAAAUUGAAAUUACAGUUUUAUUUCAAUAAUAUUAUGAGAGGUUUUUAAAACACAAGGAAAAGGAAAGAUCUUUCAUGUUUAUAGAUCAGAAAAAGUAAUAUUGUUAAAAUGUUCAUAAUACCCAAACUGAAUCAUUGAUUCAAUGCAAUUCCUAUCUUCCAAUGACAUUUUCAAAAGAAUUAGAAAAGGAAGUCAUAAUUAAUUUGUAUGAAACUACAAAAGACACUGAGUAACCAAAGCUUUCUUGAGUUAAAAGAACAAAGCUGGAGAUAUCACACUACCUGAAUUUGAAAUGUACUACAAAGCUAUGGUAAUUAAAACAGCAUGAUAUUGGCAUAAAAUCAGACACAUUGAUCAAUGUAAGAAGAUAGAGAGCCCACAAAUAAAGUCACAGACUUAAAGUUAACAGACUUUUUACAAAGGUGACAAGAAGAACACACAAUGGAAGAAAUGGAGAAAAGGAAGUCUUUUUAAUAAAUGGUGCUGGCAAAGCUGGGUAUCCACAUUCAGAGAAUAAAAUUAGAUCCUUAUUUCACACCGCAUAAAACAAUAAACUCGGCCAGAUGCAGGCUUAUGCCUGUAAUCCCAGCACUUUGGGAGGCCGAGGUGGGCAGAUCACCUGAGAUUGGGAGUUCAAGACCAGCCUGACCAACAUGGAGAAACCCCGUCUCUACUAAAAAUACAAAACUUAGCUGGGCAUGGUGGUACAUGCCUGUAAUCUCAGCUACUCAGGAGGUUGUGGCAGGAUAAUCAUUUGAGCCCGGGAGUCAGAGGUUGCAGUGAGCUGAGAUCACGCCAUUGCACUCCAGGCUGGCCAACAAGAGUGAAACUCUGUCUCAAAAAAAAAAAAAAAAAAAAAAAAACCUACUCAAAAUGGAUUAAAGACUUAAACAUAAAACUUGAAACUGCAAAAUCAUUGGAACAAAACAUAUAAUAAAGCUUCAUAACAUUAAUCUGGACAAUACUUUUUUUGAAUAUGCAUUCUAAAGCAAAAAGCCAAAAGCAAAAAUAGACAAAUGAGAUGACAUCAAACUAAAAAGCUUCUGCAAAGCCAAGGAAACCAUCAAUAGAGUAAAGAACCAAUCUACAGAAUGAGAUAACACACUUGCAAGCCAUGACUUUCACAAGAGAUUAUUAUUUUAAAAUAUAUAAGAAACUCAAAUAACACAAUAACAAGUAAACAAAUAAUCUUAUUAAAAAUUGGGCAAAAGAUCUGAAUAGACAUUUCUCAAUAGAAGAUGUACAAGUAGCCAAAAGGUAUAUAAAAAUGAUCAAUAUUACUAAUUAUCAGGAAAAUGCAAAUUGAAAGCACAGUAAGAUAUCACCUCACACCUGCUAGAAUGGCUGUUAUCAAAAAGACAAAAGAUAACAAGUGUUGGCAAAGAUUUGGAGAAAAGGGAACUGUUUUAUACUGCUGUUGGGAAUGUAAGUUCACACAGCCAUUAUGAAAGAAAAUGUAUGUAAGUUCCUCAGAAAAUUAAAAGUAAGACUACCAUAUUAUCCAGCAAAUUGACUACUGAAUUUAUAUUCAAAGGAAAUGAAAUUGAUAUGUCAAAGAGAUAUCUAUCCUCUCAUUUGUAUUGCAGUAGUAUUGGUCCAUUUUCAUGCUGCUGAUAAAGCCAUAUCUGAGACUUGGAAGAAAAAGAGGCUUAGUGGACUUACAGUUCCACAUGGCUGGGGAGGCAUUACAAUCAUGGUGGAAGGCAAGGAAAAGCAAGUCACAUCUUACAUGGAUGUCAGCAGGCAAAAAAAAAAAAAAAAGAGAGAGAGAGAGAGAGCUUGUGCAGGGAAACUCCUGUUUUUUAAAACCAUCAGAACUCGUGAGACUUAUUCACUACCAUGAGAAGAGUCCAGGGGAAACUGCCCCCAUGAUUCAAUAUCUCCCACCAGGCCUUUCUUACAACAUGGAGCAUUUAUGAGAGAACAAGUCAAGAUGAGAUGUGGGUGGGGACAUAGAGCCAAACCAUAUCAACUGACAAUAGUCAAGAUAUGGAAUCAACCUAAGUGUCCAUUAAUGAAUGAAUGAGUAAAGAAAAUUGGGUGAAUAUACACAAUGGAAUAUCACUCAGCCUUAAAAAGAAGAAAAUUCUUUCAUUUGGGACAAAAUCAAUGAACCUAGAGGACAUUAUAUUAAAUGAAAUAAGCCAGGCACAGGAAGAUAAAUGCCACAUGAUCUCACCUAUAUGUAGAAUGUAAAAAAAAAUAAAAUGAAUUUUGGAAGUGGAAAGCAGAAUAGUGGCUACCCGCAGAUUAGGGUUAGAAGUGACUAUUAGGUGUUCAUCAAAGGAUAUAAAAUUUCAGUUAGAUGAAAGAAAUAUGUUAAAGACAUCCAUUGUACAACAUGGUAAAUAUAAUUAAUAAGAAUGUAUUAUAUUUUUAAAAAUUGCUACAGUAUAGAUUUUAAUUGUUCUCACCACAAAGUAAGUUUGUCUGGUAAUACAUAUGUUAAUUACUUCAACUUAGUCACUUCACAAUAUAUACCUGUUUUAAACAACAUGUUUUAUAUAGUAAGUAUAUACCAUUUUUUGUCCAUUAAAAAUAAAUGUUUAUUGGCUACUUGUAUUUCUUCUUUUGAGAAUUUGUCAUCAGUUACCCACUUUUUAAUGGAGUUAUUUGGUUUUUUUCUCACUGAGUUGUUUGAGUUCCUUUUAGAUUCUGGAUAUUAGGAAUUUGUCAAAUGCAUAGCUUGCAAAUAUUUUCUCCCAUUCUGUAAGCUUUCUGUUUACUCUGUUGUUUCUUUUACUAUACAGAAGUUUUUAGUUAAUGAAAUCCCAUUUGUCUAUUUUUGUUUUGUUGCAUUUGCUUUUGAGGUCUUAGUCAUAAAUUCUUUGCCUAGGCUGAUGUCUGGAAGACCUUUUCUUAGGUUUUCUGUAGACUUUUAUAGUAUCAGGUCUUCCAUUUAAUUAUUUAAUCUAUCUUGAGUUAAUUUUUAUAUGUUGUAAGAGGGGUCCAGUUUUAUUCUUCUGUGUAUGAAAAUUUGAUUUUUCCUUGUAUCAGUUAUUAAAUAGAAUUCCCUGUUUCCAUUGUAUAUUUUUUGUUGAUUUCUUUCAAAUAUCAGUUGGUUGUAUGGAUGUGGCUUUAUUUCUGGGCUCUCUAUUCAUUUCCAUUGAUUUAUGUGUCUAUCUUAUACCAGUACCAUGCUAUUUUGGUAACUAUAGCCUUAUAGUAUAAUUUGAAGUCAGGCUCAAAGAACUGAAAAUUGAACUACCAUUAAACUCAGCAAUCCCAAUAACUAGCUAUCUAUUCAAAGGAAAACGAAGUGUUCUGUCAAAAAAUACCUACACUCAUGUUUAUCACAGAAUGAUUCAUAAAAUCAAAAUCAUGGAAUCAACCUAAGUGUUCAGUGCAGAUGACUGGAUGAGGAAAAUGUGGGAUAUAUACACCAUGGAAUACUAUGCAGCCAUACAAAUAAUGAAAUCAUGCUUUCUACAGCAAUAGACAUGGAGCUGGAGGCCAUUAUCCUAAGUGAAACAAUUCAGAAACAGAAAACAAAUACAACCUGUUCUUACUUAUAAGUAGAAGCUAAACAAUGGGUGCACAUGGACAUAACAUGGAAAUAAUAGUCCUGGGGAUUCAAAAAGGGGAGAGGGUUGGAAGCAGGUGAAUGUUGAAAAAUUACCUAUUGGGAAAAAUGUUCACUAAUUAGGUGAUGGAGCCCAAACCCACCAUUAUGCAAUAUAUUCAUGUAACAAACCUGUACACAUACCUGCUGAAUCUAUAAAAGUUUUUAAAAAUAAAAUAAAAUUAAAAUCAAUAAAUCAAUACAAGCUAUUUUGAUAGCUACUUUAUCAAAUGACUUUCCAGAUUAAUUUUCUACCUUUAUAUGAGAUGUCAAAAAUAAUUUUCUUUUUUUUUAUAUCUGCAUGUUCUAUAGUGUUACUUCUGGCUCCUUACAAUCUAUUACAAUCUUAGUUCUAUCACCAUUCAUUUCAAUUAGAAGUCUGUGUGCCUUUUCUUGGCAAAUUAAAAAGAAAAAAUUCCAUUUGUGUAGAUUACAAAGUUUUCUGAAUGUAAACUAGAAAGAUGUUUGAAUAUUACCUCCAAUAUCUAUUAUUGAACAUCUGAAAUUAUCUAGGUGGUAACAUGUGUGCAUACAUAAGAUAUGUGUCUUGAAAUAUAGUUUAUGGUAUUUUUAGCCUGUCACCAUAAAAGCAUAUUUAGAACCAAAACCAAAAUACAUUACAAGUGAAAACAAGACUGAAAACACCUGAUUUCUCAAGUGUUUUUGAAUGUUUGUGUAGCCCACAAAAAUAACUAUGAAGAAGUAAAAUGGCUUGCUUAUAUUCACAUGGGACUUACACUACAUCUUAUAGUGAUUGUGAAAGAAAUAUUUAAUAAUAUAUUCACUUUCAAGGAAAAUAGGUAAUAACUGCUCUAUUUACCAGGGUUUAUUUAUUUUUAAAUAGAUUUAUGUAUUUAUUCGUUUAUUUUAUUUGAGACAAGGUCUCAUUCUUUUGCCCAGGUUGUAGUGCAGUGGCACUAUCUCUUCUCACUGCAACCUCCACUUCCUGAGCUUGAGUGAUCCUCCCACCUCAGCCUUCUGAGUAGUUAAGACUACAGGUGUGGACCGCCACGCCUGGCUAAUUUUUGUACUUUUGUUAAGAUAAAGUCUCCCUAUGUUGCCCAGGUAAUCUGAACUCCUGGGCUAAAGUGAUCUGCUUGCCUCAGCUUCCCAAAGUGUAGGAUUUACAGAUACUAGCCACUGUGCCAUGUUUAUUCACAAAGAAAAAUAUUGAAUAAGAAAAUCCAUGGAAUACCCAGUUUCAAGAUUCUCAUGCAAAUUUAACCAGUAAGCAAGCUAGAAAACACUAAACAACAUCAAUUUCUCCUUGUGAUAGGGACAGGGGGAAGAAAAUUUUUUUUCUAGGCAAAAAAGAGUGGGUCUCCAAUGAAACUCCACCCUCAAGCUGAAGAGCCUAAAACCACUGCCCAAAUUGAGAACUUAUAUUCCUGUCUUCUCACUCAAAUGUUGCCUUUUUCUAAACCACCCAUGACCAUACCCCACCACAUCCUGUGCCUAUAAAAACCCCAGAUUCAGCCAGUAGAUGGGACUACAGCUGGAUGCCAGAGAUAAACAGCUUGAUUUCAGAGGGACAGCUUAAUGGCAUAACUUCUGAGAAGAAUCCAGCUGGAGAUGACCAGACAUCAGGGGAAGAAUACCUUCCCACCUCAUCCCCUUUUCAGCUUCCCUUCCCACUGAGAACCACUUUCAGCAGCAAUAAAAUCCCCCACAUUUACCAUCCUUCAACUUAUUAAUAUGACUUCAUUUUUCCUGGAUGCCAGACAAGAGCUCAGGAGUCACAAAUGCAGAUACAAAAGGCUGUCACUCUGGUCCUUUGCCCUCAUUGGCAGAGGGCAGCUGCAUCACACAAAAAGGCAAAGGGCACACUGAGCUGUUAACACUUAAGCCAUCAGUGGAUGGCAGAGCUAAAAGAGCACUGUAACGCACCCUUUGGGGCAUUGGGCAUCACAGGCACCCUGACCUGGAUGCUACCAUAGGGCCUACAUGGAGUUUGCUCCUGCCAGCACCCAAAACAGGCCAGUGGGAUCCCCUACUUGUGCUCCCUCCCACAAGGGAUUUGAGCAUGGCAAGCUGAGUAAACUGAGUUUGUUCCUGCCAGCACCGAAAAGCACUCGCUCUGGUUCCUACACCUACUCACCUGCGUGGUCCCUCCUGGAAGGGGUGGAAGGCAUCAGGUAAGAGUGAGUGGGGUUUGAUCCCCCUGGCACCGAAGCAGCUGGCAGGUUCCAGUGGUCAUUCACUCCAGUUCCUGCACUUGUUUGCUUACAUGCUCCCUCCCACAAGGAGUUUACACUGUCACGCUGAGUAAAUGAGGCAACCCUGUAGUGAGUCCCAAGAAGGGGUCAGGGAAAUAUCCUACUUCACAAGCAUGGUAAACAUAUAAUUUUAGAUAACUAAAAACAAAGGUAGAACUUAUUAAUUAUUUGAAAUAUUGCUCAUAUAUUAUUGUGCUAAUUACAUUUAGCAAACUUAGAGGUGUCUAUAAUACUUAUAAAUUAUAUAUAAUAUACCCACCUUUAAUUAGUAUUGGUAAAAUAUUAAGAAAAUAUUUACUUGAAAAAGGUAUAGUAUAUGAGUAUACUUAUAAUUUUUAUGUUCACAUAUUUUUGUAGUGAAAAUAGAAUUAUUUUUAAUAUAGACUUUUUUUCUCAUUAACAUAUCCAUCUAAUUUGGAGAUAUUUAAAAUACAGAAAAAUGCAAAGAUAAGAUGAGAGACACCCACAAACUAUACUAUAUUUACCUUUAAAAUUGUUAUUUAUUUUAUGGAAAACAAUGAGAAGCAUAUUUGAGCAUUUCCAAAUAUCUGCAACCAAAUAUCUUUCUCUUCUGGAGAAAACAUUAUUGAGAAAUUUUGGAGUAGUUUCUCUAAGUCUGUUUUUCUUUUGCUGUUGUUUGAUAAUACACCUAUAUUUAAUCAUAAAUAAUUUCAAGUGCUAUAAUAUUUGUUUUAAAAGUAUGUUUGUUUUAAAAUUUGAAAUGUUUAUACAUUUUAAAAUAAACAUCAUAGCACUUGAAACUUAUUUGUGACUAGACAUAGGUGUACUUUUCACUGUUUCUCAACAACAUACAUUCUUAAUCAACCUGCUAUCAGCAAUCAACAUUAUGUUUUCAAAAUCAUUAAUGCCACUCGCUUGAUAUUUUUCUUUGAUGCAUGAAAGUUAAUUUUGAUAAAGUCCAAUUUAUUAUUUCUUUAGUUACUUUUACUUGUGGCAUUAUACUCAAAGAAACAUCGCCAAUUCUAAGGUCAUGAAAUGGAUCCCUGUGUUUUAUUUUAAUAGUUCUCUAGUUUUAACUCACAUUUAGGUCUUUAUCUACUUUGAGUUUAUUUUUGUACUUGGUUUAAUGUAUGGAUCCAAUUUCAUUCUUUUGCAUAUCCAGUUGUUUCAACUGGAUUCAUAAACUUCAGUCUGUCAACUGACAGAUUUAUAAACUCAUGUAUCUUUGAUAAAUUGACUUUUAAUGAGGAUGACAAGACCAUUCAAUAGGAAAAGAACACAUGAACGAAUGAUGCUGAUGCAACUGGAUAACCAAAAACAAGUAAAAGCUAUACAAUUAAAAAGGAAAUAGCAGAACUAUCUCCAUUCAUAGUUUUCAUAAUUUUAAAAACACAACAUUCCCAUGAAUACACACAAACACACACACACAUACACACAAUCUUCGAGUUAACAUAGUCAGCACAGGUACAAUAUACAAGAUAAAUACACAAAAUGUGGAUAUCCAGUUGUCUCAGCAUCAUGUGUUAAUGUGUUCUUUUCCUAGUGAAUGGUCUUGGCACCCUUAUUACAAAUCAACUGACCACAGAUGCAUACAUUUAUUUCUCGACUCGCAAUUAUAUUUCACUGAUAAAUAUGCCUAUCCUUGUGCCAGUUCCACUGUUUGAAUUACUUGAGAUUUGUAGAAGGUUUGGAAAUUGAAAAGUGUUCAUCCUCCAAAUGUGUUCUUUUUCAAAAUCAUUUUGGCUACUCAGGGUACCUUGCAAUCUCAUAUGAAUUGUAGAAUUGACUUUACCGUUUCUGAAAACAAAAACCAUUGGGAUUUUGACAGGGUUUGCACUGAAUAUGUAGAUCACUUUGGGGAGUAUUUUCAUCUUAAUAUUAAUUAUUUAUAUUAAUAAAUGCAAGAUAUUUUUCAUUAUGUAGGUUCUUAAUUUAUUUCAACAGUGGUUUUUAGUUGUCAGCAUACACAUCUUUCUCC